Molecule: long non-coding RNA, 1050 nt
Organism: Eptesicus fuscus (big brown bat)
Lineage: Eukaryota; Metazoa; Chordata; Mammalia; Chiroptera; Vespertilionidae
Exons: 3
Source: RefSeq, a predicted model, not a curated record
GGCAGCCCCCUUGGGAGGGGUGUCUACGAGUUCCAGUAAGGAGAGGGGCUCAUGCCAACCCCUACAAUCUAGGACGGGACAGGCAGUUCGGGGGUUCCUUCUGAGCAAAGGAUUCGAACUUGGAGGGGAGGAUGAGCCUUUUCCUGGCGAACAAUGGUUUCUAAGACCCAAGGAACUGCUCAUCUGCUGACCUGUGUUCUAUUUUACAUGCUUCAUGACCUUUUCCUACAAUGGCCUUGGGGUCAGCAAGUUGAGAUUCGAAGAGCGUUUUGCCUGGAGAGGCCUACAGAGGAAAGCACCGUCAGAGGCCCCAGGACAUUACCUGCAGGAAACAAAGAAGCAUCGUAGGCUAAUGGACAGCCCCGUGUGCUGAGCAGGGUUCGUGCAGGCACGGUCCACUCUGAGGGCUUCGUGUGCACUAACGCAUGGAGCAGGUGCAUUUCUCAGGGCCCAGAAGCACUCUGGCAGAUGCAGUCUCCAGGGAGGUGUGCUCGGGGCUCUGCCUCCUGGGCCGAGGGUGCCCGUGUGCUGGGGUCGGGCUAAGCCUGUGGCAGUGGGCUCCCUGCUUCCUCAGAACACGUCCCUGAAGAUGGUCUGGCCCCAGCGAGCAUUACGGUCUGGGACUGGAGUGACAGAUGAGGAAACGGAAGCACCCACAGGCGAUCGCCUGAGGUCCCGGAUGAGGGGCGACAGGCCAGGACGGGGACCCAGUCUUCCAGUGCCGGAGGGCCCUCUCCAUGUGAGCACCUUGUUCGCACCGCCCAGCGGGGGAGGGAAGUGCUCUGGAAAGUGGUUUUCACCCGCGUCAUUGCAGUGUAAGAAAGCAAAACGUAAUUCUCCUCUGAGCUCACAUAGAAAUUUGAGAAAAAAUAGAAACAUAUGUAGGCUACAUAUGGUUUCUAUGAUUAGUUUGUUGUAGGCCAGAACUAAAGUUUUCUUAUGCCUUUAGGAACUUAAGCAUGUACCAUACAUAACAACUUAUAUAAUGAUCACAUUUGGCAUGUUUACAUUUAAAUCAGCAUUCUUUUUUAUAGUAAUUAUCAGAUGUAC